UUUAUCAUCUUCUAAACCCUAAUACCUAAAUCACAUUCUUCACUUCUUCUUCACCACAUUGAUACCUUCCCACCACUUCCCUCCAUCAUCGUCUUGAACGCCAACGCCACCCACUCCAUCGCCCACAUCCGCUUCCAACCAACCUCCACCUCCAUCACCACUUCCCCGUCGCUGGUUCCGACCACCACGGCCUCACCCGUCUUCUCCAGCCAUACCGGAACCACUACACACCACCGUUCGCCCUCACCUUCGCCGCCGAUCUCCGACAUCAGCUGCAAAACCAGUGAACACACAUGGAGAUUGAAAAGACGUCCACUUUCAGCUGGAGACUUGACAGACAUCCGUAGAAGAUGAGAAGCAGGUUAAUAUACGAUAUUGUAGAUAUGUAGCGACACCUACUACAAAGACCAGGCUGCUGUCGGCGAUGACAGUGGAAGACGGCGUCGGGAUAGUCGUUUGGCUAGAACGGGUGACAAUAGUCUCAAAUUAGGAGGAAUGUUGAAGGUAGACCAGUAAAAACUCUAGGAACAGUAUAAGUUUUGGACAAAAACUGAAUGUUAAUUACGGUUCUGCCAUCUUCUUGGUAUAAGGAACAUACCUUGCCGGCGACAUCCCCCCUCAAACUCCUUUUGCGAAACAACGCCGUCUAGCAACAAUGACCAAUACCUCUCCACCCAAAAUCGACGACGCCGGCAACAUAACCACCACCAAAUCGAAGGCUUUUGUAAGGCGACAGGACUCCAGCAGAAGCCCAUCUAGCAACACCAAUCAACACAGCUCUGCUCAAAAUUGACGCCCUAAACCCAACCACCAACAAAUCGAAGCCUUUCGUCAGGCGAUUAGGACUCCAGCAGCACUAAAGCUAAAGAUACCCAAACCGGCAGGAUCGUUUGCUUGCUUGAACAGUUUUCGUACCAAAAAACCAACCCGACUCAUGCUUUCUGGAAUACAAGGAACACUAAAGGAUUAAGCUACAAAACAUAAUCAGACCUGUUUGCUUUUGCGAGCAAUAUGGAGUACUGUUAUUUUUGUGUAAAGGAUGUCAUGUAGAACUAUAUUUGAAAAUCUGAGCUAUACAACAAUCUUGAUUCGC
This is a long non-coding RNA of Helianthus annuus (common sunflower), 1093 nucleotides long. RefSeq lists it as uncharacterized. The record is from RefSeq and is a predicted model, not a curated record. The transcript is spliced from 5 exons. NCBI's taxonomy places the organism in Eukaryota, Viridiplantae, Streptophyta, Magnoliopsida, Asterales, Asteraceae.